Molecule: long non-coding RNA, 630 nt
Organism: Anastrepha obliqua
Lineage: Eukaryota; Metazoa; Arthropoda; Insecta; Diptera; Tephritidae
Exons: 3
Source: RefSeq, a predicted model, not a curated record
GUCAAUGAGCAAGAAGGAUUUUAGGUGAUGGCAAUCACAUAUAAGUGAAAACAUACAUGUAUUUGUUGUUGCCUUUGGUGUAGGCAUCACGUCAAAAUCAGCUGUUUACUUCAGGGCGAUUUGCUUGUGAAACGUAAAUAAAUUAAUUCAAGCUUCGCGUUUAAAUUGCUUUCUACUUUCGAUUGAUUUAUUAAUUUGUGGGCCUGAGUAAAUUGUUUUCAAGAUACCAGCAUUUGCGAUGCGGGUGUGUAUGUAGCGCCGGCUAGGAGGAUUCCAUACCAUAACAAUUGGCGUUAGAAACGUUCGCCAAAACUAAGCAACGAUUGUUCUCCAUACGAUUAGUAGAAGAAAAAGGGGAGAAACGUUUGCUAAUUUACCACUUAAAAAAGUUAGUUGAAAAAUACGCUGGAAAUUGUCCCAAUAUAAAAAGUCGCCAUAUUUCCCACAGUUCGUUGAAGAUUUAGUACGUAGCAUAUGUGUGAAUUUAUCUGCCACGGGCAUUAAUAUGGUGAAACUGAAUGUAGAGAAUGAAGUUUGGACACGGAAAAGUUUAAAAUGGAGAAACAAAACGCAAAAACAACAAACAAGGGCAAAAUGAAGUCUCACUGCGUGCAGACAGUAAUGUAUGUA